GGGGGUGUAGCUCAGUUGGGAGAGCGCUUGAAUGGCAUUCAAGAGGUCAGGGGUUCGAUUCCCCUCAUCUCCACCA
RNAcentral lists this transfer RNA (76 nucleotides) under Anaerobranca californiensis DSM 14826. RNAcentral describes it as "tRNA_Ala_GGC". It matches the Rfam family "tRNA". Rfam says of the family: Transfer RNA (tRNA) molecules are approximately 80 nucleotides in length. Their secondary structure includes four short double-helical elements and three loops (D, anti-codon, and T loops). RNAcentral also lists the same sequence under 2 other names. The record is from RNAcentral. Lineage: Bacteria; Bacillati; Bacillota; Clostridia; Eubacteriales; Proteinivoracaceae.